Non-coding RNA from Arachis ipaensis, 390 nucleotides. The record is from RefSeq and is a predicted model, not a curated record. NCBI's taxonomy places the organism in Eukaryota, Viridiplantae, Streptophyta, Magnoliopsida, Fabales, Fabaceae.
AACCGCGAGGGUUCUGUCACCGUCAUUCCAGUGCCAUCGUUUGUGCCCUUCGUCGCCACCGCCGUGAGUAAAGUCUGCCACUGUUACCGGAGUCUGCAGCCGUGGAUACUGCCAUUGGAGUCGCUAGGAACCAAUUUCUGGAGCUACUCUUGAUGAUUUUGAUGCUGCUACAUAGGUUCCGAGCUGCUGUGUUGUUGCCAAAGGAAGGGAACUCAUAGGAAAAACGUCACCGAGGCUGCUAUUUGGUUUGAUUGUGUUGUUAAUGCGACACUGAGUGACACAGAUUCGAAGACUCAGUUUGAAGCUACGAGAGAUUAUAGAAUUUACUUAUGAGUUAAGUUACAUUCAUAGAGUUCCCUCACUCUUAUUGCUUAACAUUUUUAUUUUAUA